This 696-nucleotide ribosomal RNA is filed under the name uncultured Phycisphaeraceae bacterium. RNAcentral describes it as "bacterial SSU rRNA". It matches the Rfam family "Bacterial small subunit ribosomal RNA", at positions 94 to 825 of the family's 1533-position model. The record is from RNAcentral. Lineage: Bacteria; Pseudomonadati; Planctomycetota; Phycisphaerae; Phycisphaerales; Phycisphaeraceae.
AGUGGCGAAAGGGCGAGUAAUACGAUCGAAUGUGCCCCGAGGUGGGGGAUAGCGUCGGGAAACUGACGGUAAUACCCCAUGUGCUCUACGGAGGAAAGGCUUGCCGCCUUGGGAUCAGCGAUCGUCCUAUCAGGUAGUUGGUGAGGUAAUGGCUCACCAAGCCGAAGACGGGUAGCGGGUGUGAGAGCAUGGCCCGCCGCAUCGGGACUGAGACACUGCCCGGACUCCUACGGGAGGCUGCAGCGACGAAUCUUCCGCAAUGCGUGAAAGCGUGACGGAGCAAUGCCGCGUGUGGGAUGAAGCGCCUUCGGCGUGUAAACCACUGUCAGGACCUAGGAACAAUGACCGGGUCCAGAGGAAGGGCCGGCUAAACUCGUGCCAGCAGCCGCGGUAAUACGAGUGGCCCAAGCGUUAGGCGGAAUCACUGGGCUUAAAGCGUGCGUAGGCGGACGUGAAGGCGUCUUGUGAAAUCCCACGGCUCAACCGUGGAAUAGCAGGGCGAACCACGCGUCUUGAGGCAGGUAGGGGACGAUGGAACUGUCGGUGGAGCGGUGAAAUGCGUAGAUAUCGACAGGAACGCCGGUGGAGAAGCCGGUCGUCUGGGCCUGACCUGACGCUGAGGCACGAAAGCGUGGGGAGCAAACAGGAUUAGAUACCCUGGUAGUCCACGCCGUAAACGAUGCGCACUAGGUCGGA